Maylandia zebra (zebra mbuna) is the source of this 1553-nucleotide non-coding RNA. The record is from RefSeq and is a predicted model, not a curated record. Lineage: Eukaryota; Metazoa; Chordata; Actinopteri; Cichliformes; Cichlidae.
ACGACCUCUCUUGGAUAAACACUGGUUUACUGGUUCCCAUACUGGUGAGCUGUACACUGGGACUUGUUUUCAUUGUCACCUUGAUGUGCUGCAUAUUAAGGCAAAAAAGAGUUGCUGCUGGACGAGACAAAGGCAUGCAUGUUGGAUACAAUACUGGAGACAAGGACGAGUAUGGCUCAAGAGUAUAACUCCUUGUUCUGAAUCACACUUCAAAGGAGCUCAGAAACUUCAACAUCCUUAAGACUUUUGUCCCUUUGCAUCACUCGCUUUAUUUAUUUUUUGCCCCAUGGGUCACUUUGGAGAUUUAUAAAGGCAUGCAAGGUUUAAUCACAUCACAUGAUAAAGUUUGCGUGUGGCUCUAGGGUUUUGGGAAGUACUUUUUUCUCUCAAGCCACAAUCUGGAGUCCUUUUGCUGUGUUGUGGCAGGCAGAAGAUGGUAGGCCUUCAUGCUGGAUGUUUUAAACUGCAUGCAAGAGGAACAGCUGUCCUCUUUAAUUCCACUUUAUUUAUCUGACAUGAUGUGGUGUGUUUCCUAAGGAGAGCUUCACACAGAGUCUACCAGGCAAGAGCCAAGAGCUGAACUGGUGAAAAUCUCAGGUCAAGUCAGAUCAUGGCACCCAUUCCCUAGGGCUGUCCUGGCAUGGUGGAAAGCCCAACCACAGUUCAAACAAUAGGGGGAUAGGAUUUGACAGACAUCUCUGAUGAUAGGAUGGCCCUAGAGGGAUGGGCUAUACCACAAUUCCAACAACCCUGUACUUACAGUUGCUUUAUGGAUUUCAUAAUAAAAGGGUGCUUAGCUUCAUUCAAACACAGCUCCUUCAUUGUGAAAAAUGUUGAGGAAAAAAAGGCUUUUGUGUUUCCAGCCACUCGUGGGCUGACCCCUAACCCUCUGUCCGGUAGUCGGAUCACAAGACUAACUCCCCAGCACUCCUGAUAGCUUCUUAGUUGGCCUGUAGGCUGUACAGUUAACCACAGGACUGCUGGAAAGUUAACAUGUUAUCCUCAUCAGGUUUCCCUUAGCCUUUCUUUAUGCCAUUCUUUUGUAUAAUUUGAGAUGAGUUAUUGCUUUGUGUAUUUUACAGACGUAGUCAGUUCCAUCUUCCUGCAGUAGUAAUGACCAUGUGGAGCUGUUAAUCCCUGGUUAAAGCGUGUUUGUCUGGUGAAAGCUGUAAUGUGUGGAGGUGAUGGAUGAACUGGAAAUUAUAUCAGAAUGUUUAGACUGAUUAAAAAGCCUGUGUAAAUGAGAAGUACAAUCUUAAAGCAAAAUAAGCAUGAGGUGAUUCGUUUUGUCACAAUAAAAUGCUCCCUCCGUGUGCCAGGUCUUUAACACAUUAAUAUAUUUUUUCUUGUAAUUGUUACUCGUUUAUUUAUUUUGUCUGCUCAUCAAAUUUUAUUCUUGUUAUACUGUUUUGUUUUGUUUGGGAUUUUAAAAAUAAAUGCACCAUUACAUGUGUCAAGAUGUGGCAAAUGGUAUGUUUGUCAUAGUGAGCUAUACAGUUUUUUGUGUACAACAAAUGCAGACAAAACUCAUCAUUAAAAAUGUUCAAAUACAA